Molecule: long non-coding RNA, 427 nt
Organism: Halichondria panicea
Lineage: Eukaryota; Metazoa; Porifera; Demospongiae; Suberitida; Halichondriidae
Exons: 3
Source: RefSeq, a predicted model, not a curated record
GUGUAUGUAGAACUUCACCACGCAAAUAAUUUUAGUACUAAAUAAAAAGAACUGGACCCACCCCCCAUACAAAACAUCUCUACAGGUUAUACAUCAGAGAUCAGGCCAAGCACCAGACAUCUAUUUACAGGGCCUUGUAGAUAAGUGAUCUGAGAAGUUAGACAACAAUCUAUAUCUGACCUGGUUCUUAUGAACCUACUUGCUUGUAAUAAUCUGUGAGUCAGAAUGUGAAUCAAAACUCUGAAGUUGUAUACAAACUUAAAAGAUACGAAUACUGCUUACACACUUGUCAACCAACCCCCUACCGGGGAUAGAUACGGAGCCCCCUACCUAAAUACGACACAUCUUGACAACCAAGUGUAUUGACUGUACUGUUCUAGUUAGUUAAUUAGUUUUGUGGUUUAUUGUAUUUCCUGUUUGUCCUGCU